GGCGGGGUAGAGCAGUUUGGUAGCUCGCAAGGCUCAUAACCUUGAGGUCACGGGUUCAAAUCCUGUCUCCGCAA
RNAcentral lists this transfer RNA (74 nucleotides) under Epifagus virginiana (beechdrops). Its description in RNAcentral is "tRNA-fMet". It matches the Rfam family "tRNA". Rfam says of the family: Transfer RNA (tRNA) molecules are approximately 80 nucleotides in length. Their secondary structure includes four short double-helical elements and three loops (D, anti-codon, and T loops). The record is from RNAcentral. Lineage: Eukaryota; Viridiplantae; Streptophyta; Magnoliopsida; Lamiales; Orobanchaceae. RNAcentral also lists the same sequence under 1 other name.